RNAcentral lists this long non-coding RNA (503 nucleotides) under Chinchilla lanigera (long-tailed chinchilla). RNAcentral's name for it is "lncRNA (ENSCLAG00000026415.1)". Lineage: Eukaryota; Metazoa; Chordata; Mammalia; Rodentia; Chinchillidae. The record is from RNAcentral.
UUUCAACUAUACUCAACAAUUUGAAGCUAUUUCUCUACUUCUGUAUGUACUGUGCUUUGAAUGAGAGAAAAAAAUAUGAACUACGGGAUAUGGAAAUUGGAAUUCAUUCUCUUUAGAAUACCAGUUUACAAUUAUAUUUUGGUAGAUUUUCUGCAUAAUUUUCAAUCGAAAUUAGAGGCUAUUACAGGGGUGGUUUGGAAUAUUUUAUAAACUUCCCCCAUCAAAGAAGUGAGUGCCCCCUUCCUUGAAAUACUUGAAGAAUGCCAAGAUAAAGAAUAUAGGGGAAAUUGCACUGCAUGACUUUACAAGUUAGCAAAGAGCGUGUCAUUUCCUCAUACCCUUUGAACACCAUCGCUGGGAGGCGUGAGCCACUGUGAGCUGAGGAAGAUCAGUCACCAGGAGUUCAUCUUGGGUGAACAGUGCAUGGAGACAGAGAUGCCAGGGGAGGUUCAGCGUCCCUCUUCCCUCUGUUGAAACAGUGGACAGGGGGCCAGAGCUGCAAG